Molecule: long non-coding RNA, 352 nt
Organism: Siniperca chuatsi (mandarin fish)
Lineage: Eukaryota; Metazoa; Chordata; Actinopteri; Centrarchiformes; Sinipercidae
Exons: 3
Source: RefSeq, a predicted model, not a curated record
CUCCGGUCCAUCCUGCUGCAGGAACCAUCUCCUCCACACCUUCACCACCUCAGCGCUGCUCCUGGAGGACUCCCUGGAAAGCAGCACUGAAUGGAUCAUCCUGGUGAAAUGAAAUAAACUAAAUUCAUUCCCUGCCGGUGAUCCCAGCCUAUGUGGUCUACCUGAUCUCUUCAGUCUCCAGUCAAGCUGCCUCCACUUCUCCGCCCUCUGAGCCCUGCCGGUCCCCCACAGGCCGCAUCGGAAAUCCUGCCACCGGCUCCAGUGGACUACACCUGCCUCGCCUGCUCUGGAGGAGCAUUCGUCUACAAGUGAUCUUCUGUAGUAUGUAUAAUAAAGACUGUCUGAACUAGCA